GCCCGCGCUGGCGGCGAAAGCCGAAGUGGGAAGAAAAUCCCUCGCCGCAAGGCGUGCCGGUUCGAUUCCGGCCUCGGGCACCA
This 83-nucleotide transfer RNA is filed under the name Cupriavidus alkaliphilus. RNAcentral's name for it is "tRNA-OTHER". The record is from RNAcentral. Lineage: Bacteria; Pseudomonadati; Pseudomonadota; Betaproteobacteria; Burkholderiales; Burkholderiaceae.